UAUCUCUGUAGAGUCUGCAUAUCAAUAAGCGGAGGAAAAGAAACUAACAAGGAUUCCCCUUAGUAACGGCGAGUGAAGCGGGAAGAGCUCAAAUUUGAAAUCUUCAAGGUUCUGACCUUGACGAAUUGUAGUUUAAAGAAGUGUUUUCGGUUAGAGGAGUAGUAAAAGUUCCUUGGAAUAGGGACAUCAUAGAGGGUGAGAAUCCCGUAUUUGGAUUAUUCAUUUCUAGCUUUGUGAUACACUUUCAAAGAGUCGGAUUGUUUGGGAAUGCAGUCCAAAGAUGGGUGGUAAAUUUCAUCUAAAGCUAAAUAUUGGCGAGAGACCGAUAGCGAACAAGUACCGUGAGGGAAAGAUGAAAAGAACUUUGAAAAGAGAGUUAAACAGUACGUGAAAUUGUCAAAAGGGAAGCGUUUGACACCAGUGUUGUUUUUCCGAAAAUCAAUUAAAAAUUGAUUCAUGCCAGGUUGUAUUGACCUUAUCAGCUUGCAAUUUGGUUUUGGGUCUCUUUUUGAUGCACUUUUCGGUUAACAAGUCAACAUCAAUUUCCUUUGCUGUAAAAAGGUAAGAGGAAGGUGGCUUCAAUUUCGGUUGAAGUGUUUAUAGCCUUUUAUCUCUGCAGUCGGGGAGAUUGAGGUCUGCAGCGUAGAUCCUUCGGGGCUAGAUACAUUUAUGCUAAGUUAUAGCUUUUCAUAGACAACUUGUUGACUAUGUUUAGUCAUGUAGCUUACUCGUAAGUGCUAUUUUACCUACGCUUAGGAUGUUGAAGACUCUACAGAGAUC
RNAcentral lists this ribosomal RNA (780 nucleotides) under uncultured Neocallimastigales. RNAcentral describes it as "partial large subunit ribosomal RNA". It matches the Rfam family "Eukaryotic large subunit ribosomal RNA", at positions 24 to 634 of the family's 3401-position model. Lineage: Eukaryota; Fungi; Neocallimastigomycota; Neocallimastigomycetes; Neocallimastigales. The record is from RNAcentral.